GGCAUAUCAAUAAGCGGAGGAAAAGAAACCAACAGGGAUUGCCUUAGUAGCGGCGAGUGAAGCGGCAAAAGCUCAAAUUUGAAAUCUGGCACUUUCAGUGUCCGAGUUGUAAUUUGAAGAAGGUAUCUUUGGGUCUGGCUCUUGUCUAUGUUUCUUGGAACAGAACGUCACAGAGGGUGAGAAUCCCGUGCGAUGAGAUGUCCCAGACCUAUGUAAAGUUCCUUCGAAGAGUCGAGUUGUUUGGGAAUGCAGCUCUAAGUGGGUGGUAAAUUCCAUCUAAAGCUAAAUAUUGGCGAGAGACCGAUAGCGAACAAGUACAGUGAUGGAAAGAUGAAAAGAACUUUGAAAAGAGAGUGAAAAAGUACGUGAAAUUGUUGAAAGGGAAGGGCUUGAGAUCAGACUUGGUAUUUUGUAUGUUACUCUCUCGGGGGUGGCCUCUACAGUUUACCGGGCCAGCAUCAGUUUGAGCGGUAGGAUAAGUGCAAAGAAAUGUGGCACUGCUUCGGUAGUGUGUUAUAGUCUUUGUCGAUACUGCCAGCUUAGACUGAGGACUGCGGCUUCGGCCUAGGAUGUUGGCAUAAUGAUCUUAAGUCGCCCGUCUUGAAACACGGAC
This 613-nucleotide ribosomal RNA is filed under the name Lodderomyces parapsilosis. Its description in RNAcentral is "LSU rRNA". It matches the Rfam family "Eukaryotic large subunit ribosomal RNA", at positions 37 to 666 of the family's 3401-position model. Lineage: Eukaryota; Fungi; Ascomycota; Pichiomycetes; Serinales; Debaryomycetaceae. The record is from RNAcentral.